Molecule: ribosomal RNA, 557 nt
Filed under: Thalotia conica
Lineage: Eukaryota; Metazoa; Mollusca; Gastropoda; Trochida; Trochidae
Description: partial 16S ribosomal RNA
Rfam family: Bacterial large subunit ribosomal RNA
Source: RNAcentral
GUCUCUUUGCAUAAUCAUUAAUGUAUAAGGAGUCGAACCUGCCCGGUGACUAAAUGUUAAACGGCCGCGGUACCCUAACCGUGCAAAGGUAGCAUAAUCAUUUGCCUUUUAAUUGGAGGCUAGUAUGAAUGGUUUGACGAGAGCUAAGCUGUCUCCGUAUAAAUUAUUUAAAAAUUAACUUUUAGGUGAAGAGGCCUAAAUUUAUUUGAGGGACAAGAAGACCCUGUUGAGCUUUAGUUAACUUUCUAAUAAUAGAUUUAGUUUGCAUUAAGUGUAAAAUCAGUUAGUAAGUAAUCUUUAGUUGGGGCGACUGAGGAACAUAGGAAGCUUCCUUUAAUGAUGAUUAAAUGACUAAUGAUUUGUUGGGCUAUAUUAUGCUGGCAUGUUAUUUUGAUCCAGAGUUAUCUGAUUAAAGGAAAAAGUUACCACAGGGAUAACAGCGUAAUCUUUCUGGAGAGACCUAAUCGAAAGAAGGGUUUGCGACCUCGAUGUUGGACUAAGGUAUCCUAAGGGUGCAGAAGCUCUUAAAGGUUGGUCUGUUCGACCAUUAAAACCUU